AGACCAUGAUGAGGACAAUGCUGAAGUAGAUCUUUGUAUCUUUCCCAAGCCACGUACAAUGCUUUAUAAUCUAGUUGCAUGAAUGAUGUGAUAUUAUUCCUCAUUUU
This 107-nucleotide small nucleolar RNA is filed under the name Theobroma cacao (cacao). Its description in RNAcentral is "Plant small nucleolar RNA R71". It matches the Rfam family "Plant small nucleolar RNA R71". Rfam says of the family: R71 is a member of the C/D box family of snoRNAs containing the C (UGAUGA) and D (CUGA) box motifs. Multiple nearly identical copies of this snoRNA have been identified in Arabidopsis, and it is thought to function as a 2'-O-ribose methylation guide for 18S ribosomal RNA. Lineage: Eukaryota; Viridiplantae; Streptophyta; Magnoliopsida; Malvales; Malvaceae. The record is from Rfam by way of RNAcentral.